Arvicanthis niloticus (Nile rat) is the source of this 138-nucleotide small nucleolar RNA. RefSeq annotates it as small nucleolar RNA SNORA17. NCBI's taxonomy places the organism in Eukaryota, Metazoa, Chordata, Mammalia, Rodentia, Muridae. The record is from RefSeq and is a predicted model, not a curated record.
CCUGCCUCCGAACGGCAUUGAAGGUCUGUAUUUUGUGUCAUAUGAGUGUCAGUAGGAAGCAGAGAAGCUAGAGACUAUGUCUAUGCUCAGCUCACUGUCCUGACCUGUGAACGUCUGAAUGAUUAGUAGCCUAACAUU